UACGGAGGAUGCAAGCGUUGUCCGGAUUUAUUGGGUUUAAAGGGUGCGUAGGCGGCCCCGUAAGUCAGUGCUGAAAUAUCCCGGCUUAACCGGGAGGGUGGCAUUGAUACUGCGGGGCUUGAGUAGAGUUGAGGUUGGCGGAAUUGACGGUGUAGCGGUGAAAUGCUUAGAUAUCGUCAAGAACACCGAUAGUGUAGACAGCUAACUAAGCUCAAACUGACGCUGAGGCACGAAAGUGUGGGGAUCAAACAGG
RNAcentral lists this ribosomal RNA (253 nucleotides) under uncultured bacterium. RNAcentral's name for it is "partial 16S ribosomal RNA". It matches the Rfam family "Bacterial small subunit ribosomal RNA", at positions 524 to 776 of the family's 1533-position model. The record is from RNAcentral.